This 488-nucleotide unclassified non-coding RNA is filed under the name Colletotrichum sp. C880.1. RNAcentral's name for it is "sequence contains 18S rRNA gene, ITS1, 5.8S rRNA gene, ITS2, 28S rRNA gene". The record is from RNAcentral. Lineage: Eukaryota; Fungi; Ascomycota; Sordariomycetes; Glomerellales; Glomerellaceae.
CGAGGUCAACCUUUGGAAAAUUGGGGGUUUUACGGCAAGAGUCCCUCCGGAUCCCAGUGCGAGACGUAAAGUUACUACGCAAAGGAGGCUCCGGGAGGGUCCGCCACUACCUUUGAGGGCCUACAUCAGCUGUAGGGCCCCAACACCAAGCAGAGCUUGAGGGUUGAAAUGACGCUCGAACAGGCAUGCCCGCCAGAAUGCUGGCGGGCGCAAUGUGCGUUCAAAGAUUCGAUGAUUCACUGAAUUCUGCAAUUCACAUUACUUAUCGCAUUUCGCUGCGUUCUUCAUCGAUGCCAGAACCAAGAGAUCCGUUGUUAAAAGUUUUGAUUAUUUGCUUGUACCACUCAGAAGAAACGUCGUUAAAUCAGAGUUUGGUUAUCCUCCGGCGGGCGCCGACCCGCCCGGGGGCGGGAGGCCGGGAGGGUCACGGAGACCCUACCCGCCGAAGCAACAGUUAUAGGUAUGUUCACAAAGGGUUGUAGAGCGUA